UACGUAGGGUGCAAGCGUUGUCCGGAAUUAUUGGGCGUAAAGAGCUCGUAGGCGGUCUGUCGCGUCUGCUGUGAAAACUCAGGGCUUAACCCUGAGCUUGCAGUGGGUACGGGCAGACUAGAGUGCGGUAGGGGGAGACUGGAAUUCCUGGUGUAGCGGUGGAAUGCGCAGAUAUCGGGGAGGAACACCGGUGGCGAAGGCGGUUCUCUGGGCCUUACCUGACGCUGAGGAGCGAAAGCGUGGGGAGCGAACAGG
Molecule: ribosomal RNA, 255 nt
Filed under: uncultured bacterium
Lineage: Bacteria
Description: partial 16S ribosomal RNA
Rfam family: Bacterial small subunit ribosomal RNA
Source: RNAcentral